This 2378-nucleotide unclassified non-coding RNA is filed under the name Hevea brasiliensis (rubber tree). The record is from RNAcentral. Lineage: Eukaryota; Viridiplantae; Streptophyta; Magnoliopsida; Malpighiales; Euphorbiaceae.
UUCAUAGCGGCCCUUCUGAUGUUCAUUCAUAAAAUUUGCAGCAAUAAAAGUCCAUGACGCUCCGAAUUUUUCCUGUAAAAAUUCCUGAGUAACAUAUGGAUGACUCAAGCGAUCAAAAUCCCAAAUUCCCUCUCUUUCAAGUUCUUCCUGACUUAGAGGAAUAGAUGGUCGGAAUUUUCCGAUUAGGCCCGUCAUAGCAUGCUCUGGAAGUUCCCAGAUCCUAAAGAAACCCAAUAUAUGAUCAAUCCUGUAUGCUGUGAAGUAUUUGGCCAUCUGAGUUAAACGAGCACGCCACCAAGCAUAGUUGUCUUUUGACAUUUCCUCCCAAUUAUAAGUAGGAAAUCCCCAAUUCUGUCCAUUUUUAUCAAAGUAAUCAGGAGGUGCUCCCGUAGAUGUGUUCAUCCGAAAUAGAUUCAGAUAAACCCAAGUAUCCACACUGUUUUUGUCAACACCAAUAGGUAGAUCUCCUUUCAAUAUCACUCCAUUCUUUCUUGCAUAUUCUGCAGCUUCUGACAACUGCAAAUGCAAGUGGAAUUGAAUAUAAUAAUGGAAGCAAAUUAUGUCAUAGUGCAAGCUGUCUUUCGAGACUACUUUCUCAAGCUUCUCCUUGGAAUAAUGAGAAAAACGACCCCAUUGGCUGUGAUCUGAAGUUUCAAAGAAGUCUCGCAAAAAACAGAAGGCUGCAUAGGGUUUUAACCAUUCCUCAUUCUCUAAGAAAUAUUGCUGAAAGGAACUGGAGUUAAGUAUCAAAUCCUUCUCUUGGGCAAAAACUUUCUUGGCAAUUGAAAGUUUAGUAGCCAUAGUAGCCUCAUAAUCAACAUCCUUUCCAUCCAAUUUUUCUUUAGCAUCCUGAAUCUCUUUCUUGACAUCCUCUUUCAGAUUUUUUGAAAGUGCCUGUACUCUCAAGUACAGUGGGUGCAAUGCAAAAACCGAUAGCGAGCUGUAAGGAUAUGAAUCCCACCACAUCCCAUGCACAGAUGUGUCGUUGAUUGGCAGAAGUUGAACCAAAUGAAACCCAGACUCCACAGCCCAAUCAACAAGAAGUUUCAGGUCAAGAAACUCACCAACUCCAAGAUCAUUCUCUGAUCUAACAGAAAACAUGGGAAUUGCAACACCAGCACCCCGCCAAGGCAUUUCUCGCAACAUGCCAUCAGAAAGAAAAAUAUAUCUUGGUGGAAUUUUUGAAGCGUCAAAAGAGAGGUCCCGAUUUUGACCAGUUUCCAAAGAAAAGUUCCCUGCCUUGCCAUAUUUGCAGUACUUAUAUUUUAUAGGAAAUUCACUCCUUGGCAUAACAGCAUCCACUUGCCAAAUUGAGUCACCAGCAUAGCUAAGUUUAAGUCCAUUCUGAACCUUCCACCGGCCUAAUUUUGCAGUGCCGCCAAUCACAUAUACUGAUGUCUCUUCUUCAACAUUAGGGCAGCAAAUUUUGAAAUGGACAAGAAUUUCAUCUUCCUUGUCCAACUUAUUCUGGACCCCUAGAGGUCUUUCUGUGCUCAAAUUCCAACUUUUGCCAAAGAUGACAUUUUUGAAGGCACUUCUAAAAGGGAUAGCAUCACCACCAGUCUGCCAAAGAUCAUGAAGGUGGACAGUCUCUCCACCAUUUAUCUCCUUUGGAAGUAACAGUUUUCGCUUCUUUCCCAUCUCCCAUCUUAACACACUUUUCUCAUCGUCCACCACAUAAUAAUUAUACUCACAACUAAAUUCGAUUGGAGUUGCAACACUUCCAUACCAUAUGAGCUCCUCAUCCUCAUGAACGGGACUCAAUAACAAGCCCUUCUUCACAUCCCAUGAACCCAGGAGCGGCUCAGAACCGCAAACAAGCAGCCUCUGACCCCAGUGAGUGUAAUAUGGUAAUCUAAAGCUCACAUUCACUGAUUUCAAAGACUUGGUCCCAGAAAACAAUCCCAAAUUGGCCAUUUUCGUUGAGAGAGAAAUCAGAGGAAGAUGAUACUUUCCUUGAACCAAAAGGGAUUAGUUUCCACUUCUGGGUAUGAAGGGAAUAGUGUGUGUUAUGAGAGAAAGGAGUAGAGAAGAAACAAAGGGAAUCUAACAGUGGGAUUGUUAUGGCUGUAUCUUCACAGAGAUAUCCAGCAUGUGUAGGAUAGAAACGCUUAUCGCUUGCUCCGUGAGGGAAGAUAUUUUCUUUUUUCAAAUAAAGGAAAAAGGAAAAUUAAUUGUUUAUUUGAGAUGCAAAUAGAGGGGAAGUGAUACUUUUUCCUUUUCACUGUGAAAGAGAACGAGGAAAGUGUCUUUUAGCUGAUGAGAUGACGAAACUGAAAGCUCCUUUCACGGGAGAAGGAGACAAUUGGCUUUAGAGCUAAAGCUGAGAUUUGAGAAUGAGGCUCUCCUAUUUCUAGUCUUGCAUCACUGGUUUCUUU